RNAcentral lists this ribosomal RNA (426 nucleotides) under uncultured bacterium. Its description in RNAcentral is "partial 16S ribosomal RNA". It matches the Rfam family "Bacterial small subunit ribosomal RNA", at positions 354 to 796 of the family's 1533-position model. The record is from RNAcentral.
GUGAGGAAUUUUCCGCAAUGGGCGAAAGCCUGACGGAGCAAUGCCGCGUGAAGGAUGAAGGCCUAUGGGUUGUAAACUUCUUUUCUCAGAAAAGAAUUAUGACGGUAUCUGAGGAAUAAGCAUCGGCUAACUCUGUGCCAGCAGCCGCGGUACGACAGAGGAUGCAAGCGUUAUCAGGAAUGAUUGGGCGUAAAGCGUCUGUAGGUUGUUUAAAAAGUAUUCUGUCAAAGAUUAGGGCUUAACCCUAGAUAGGCAGAAUAAACUUUUAAGCUAGAGUUUGGUAGAGGCAGAGGGAAUUCCCGGUGGAGCGGUGAAAUGCGUAGAUAUCGGGAGGAACACCAAAGGCGAAGGCACUCUGCUGGGCCAAUACUAACACUGAGAGACGAAAGCGAGGGGAGCAAAUGGGAUUAGAAACCCUAGUAGUCC